RNAcentral lists this transfer RNA (76 nucleotides) under Streptomyces toxytricini. RNAcentral's name for it is "tRNA-Thr". It matches the Rfam family "tRNA". Rfam says of the family: Transfer RNA (tRNA) molecules are approximately 80 nucleotides in length. Their secondary structure includes four short double-helical elements and three loops (D, anti-codon, and T loops). Further hydrogen bonds mediate the characteristic L-shaped molecular structure. tRNAs have two regions of fundamental functional importance: the anti-codon, which is responsible for specific mRNA codon recognition, and the 3' end, to which the tRNAs corresponding amino acid is attached (by aminoacyl-tRNA synthetases). tRNAs cope with the degeneracy of the genetic code in two manners: having more than one tRNA (with a specific anti-codon) for a particular amino acid; and 'wobble' base-pairing, i.e. permitting non-standard base-pairing at the 3rd anti-codon position. Lineage: Bacteria; Bacillati; Actinomycetota; Actinomycetes; Kitasatosporales; Streptomycetaceae. RNAcentral also lists the same sequence under 5 other names. The record is from RNAcentral.
GCCGCCUUAGCUCAGUUGGCAGAGCAGUUCACUUGUAAUGAUCAGGUCAUCGGUUCGAUUCCGAUAGGCGGCUCCA